This is an RNA transcript of Peromyscus eremicus (cactus mouse), 2846 nucleotides long. It is a transcript of the gene named long-chain-fatty-acid--CoA ligase ACSBG2-like, with no coding region annotated. Lineage: Eukaryota; Metazoa; Chordata; Mammalia; Rodentia; Cricetidae. The transcript has 14 exons. The record is from RefSeq and is a predicted model, not a curated record.
AUAGGCCUGUAAGAAGGGGGUCCCUGGUUCUCACUGACUCCAGGUUCGGGUGGGGAGGGGGUACUGAGAAAGACACGAGCGCCCACGACCUCUGGCCUCCACACGUCUGCACACGUCUGCACACGCACAGGACACGCCCUCACUCACACCCAGCUUGUUUUGCCUCCUGUACCCCUACCCACAGCUGGGUCUGCAGGUUCCCAUCUUGGCUGGGCCGCCCACUGGACCGCCGUCCACUACGCGCCCCUGAACCCCCGGCCCCUGGAACCCGUGUGAACGAACACCCGUGUGUCUGCUCCCCGGCGAGGACAUGUCUGACCCUAACGAACAGAGUGGCGCCGAGGUCGCCAAGCCCAUCCUGACAGCAAAAACCAUCCUGAAGACCAAGCUUUACAGCAAAGCGUUGAAGAGGGCGACAGCACAAGCCUCCCACCCCUCAGAGACAAAGGCCCCAGGCAGCUGCUACUGGACCUCAGAGCGCGACGGGGAGGUGAAGCUGCGCCUGGGCAAGAACUCGGAGAACGAGCCCCCCACCACGGUGCCUGACCUGAUCAUGAGCGCUGCCACCAAGUACUCGCACUGCCUGGCGAUCGGCUCCAAGUACAAGAAGAGCUGGCAGCUGCUCACCUACAUCGAGUACUACGAGGCCUGCCGCCGCGCCGCCAAGGCCUUCCUCAAGGUGGGCCUGGAACGCUUCCACGGCGUGGGUAUCAUGGGCUUCAACUCCACGGAGUGGGUGAUCGCCAACAUUGGAGCUAUCAUGGCAGGAGGCAUCUCUGUGGGCAUCUUGUGCAGUAACUCACCAAAAGUGUGCCAGGUCAUCGCCGAGGCUUCAGAGAUGGACAUCUUCGUGGUGGAUAAUGACAGACAGCUGCAGAAAGUUAACCAGAUCCAGGGCUACCUGAAGCAUCUCAAGGCCAUCAUACAAUACAGAGAAGACAUCCAGGAAGUACAGCCAAAUCUAUACUCGUGGAAAGGGUUCCUGGAGCUCGCAGAUGGCAUCUCGGAUGAAAAACUGGACCAAGUCAUCGACUCGCAGAAGCCUAACCAGUGCUGUGCUCUGGUAUACAACCAGGGCACGACCGGGGCCCCAAAGGCCAUAAUGCUCAGCCACGACAAUAUCACAUGGACCACAGCGGCCACCGUUCAGAGCCUGGAGUUCAAGUGUCCGCCUGAUGGCCAGGAGAUCUUUGUGAGCUACCUGCCGCUCUGCUUCGCGGGGGCCCAGAUCUUGGAUGUGUGGGUGGCCAUCUCCGUGGCUGCAACAGUCUACUUCCCCUCAGCAGAGGCAGGGAAUUGGAGCGGGUCAGCACGAGCCCCUGGCACGGGCUUCCUGACCGAGAUGCUCCGCGACGUCCAGCCCACCACGUUCUGCGGCAUCCCGUGGGUGUGGGACCGCAUGCUGGACAGCCUGAAGACCAAACACCUGGAUGCCACCGCCUUCCGCAGGAGGAUUGACCGCUGGGCCAUGCACAUGGGGCUCAGCACCAAUAGGAGGCGGCUGCUCGGGCAGAUCCACCAGCCGCUGUGCUUCGGCCUGGCCAAGAAGCUGACCUUUGACCCUGCCAGGAAAUUCCUGGGUCUCAGCCAUUGCCAGCAGUUCCUGAACAUGGGCUCGGGGCUGUCGAGGGCCACGGUGGACUUCUUCCUCAGCCUGGACAUCCCCAUCUUUGAGGUGUACGGCUUGAGCGAGUGCACCGGACUGCACUCUCUGUCCAGCCAACAGGCCUACCGGAUCCCCAGCAGUGGGAAGGCACUUCCCAGCUCCCACACAAAGGUGGAAAAGGAGAACCAGGACGGCAUGGGGAACUUGUGUAUAUGGGGCCGCCACAUCUUCAUGGGGUACCUCAACGACAAAGAAGGCACGGAGAAGAAGGUGGACGGCCACGGCUGGCUACACACCAACGACCUGGGCUUCUUGGAUAUCGACAGGUUCCUCUAUGUCAUGGGGAAUAUCAACGAUAUGAUCACACUGAGCUCAGGUGAAGUGAUCAACCCGAAUCCCAUCGAGGAGCGAGUGAAGAUGCGCAUCCCCAUUGUGCGCUAUGUGAUGCUGGUGGGCCAGGAUGCCCCAUACCUGUGCGCCCUCCUCACAAUGAAGUGUCAGAUCAAUCCGGAGACUGGAGAGGCUCGGAGUGCCCUGACCAGUGAGGUUGUGGCCUUCUGCCGGAAGAUGCGGAGCCAGGCCACCUGGUUGGCAGAUGUCCUAUACAACCGUGACCCCAUGGUCACAGAGUUCAUCAGCCAGGGCAUCCAAGACGUGAAUGCAGAGGCACCCUCGGAAGGCACCAAGAUCAUUAAGUGGGUCAUUCUAGACAAUGAUUUCUCUGUUGGCGGCGGGGAGCUUGAGGCCAGACGAAGGCAUCAGAUCUCCUGGGACUGGAGUCACAAGUGGUUGUGAGCUAUCAUAUGGGUGUUGGGAACUGAACCCAGGCUCUGCAGGAGCAACCGGCGCUCUAACCACUGAGCUGUCUCCCAAUGCUGGGGAGGCUGAGACUGGAGAAUCCCUGGUCCUCCCUGGACCAUCAACCCAGACUACAUGGCCAGGACCAGGCCAAUGAACGAUACUGUUUCAAGGGGAGCGGGGGCCCAUGUCCAAGUUGAACAGGACCACUGUGGCCAAGAUAUACCAGGAGGAAAUCGAGAAAUUCUAUGAGAGGGCUUCGAGCUCUUAGCAGCCCUGUGCACCCCAAUCUUCGCCCAGGUGCUGGUAGUUCGUGUUUUACAUCCUGCUGUCAAGGAACAAUCUCUGCAGUGGGGAAAGUGUUCCUUGUGAGGGCCUGGGUGGAAGGCUCUCUAGUGCUGGGAUCUGAAUUGUAAAGGAAUAAUUAAAUGUGUUCACUAAA